GAUGAACGCUGGCGGCGUGCCUAAUACAUGCAAGUCGAGCGAACAGACGAGGAGCUUGCUCCUCUGACGUUAGCGGCGGACGGGUGGGUAACACGUGGAUAACCUACCUAUAAGACUGGGAUAACUUCGGGAAACCGGAGCUAAUACUGGAUAAUAUAUUGAACCGCAGGGUUCAAUAGUGAAAGACGGUUUUGCUGUCUCUUAUAGAUGGAUCCGCGCCGCAUUAGCUAGUUGGUAAGGUAACGGCUUACCAAGGCGACGAUGCGUAGCCGACCUGAGAGGGUGAUCGGCCACACUGGAACUGAGACACGGUCCAGACUCCUACGGGAGGCAGCAGUAGGGAAUCUUCCGCAAUGGGCGAAAGCCUGACGGAGCAACGCCGCGUGAGUGAUGAAGGUCUUCGGAUCGUAAAACUCUGUUAUUAGGGAAGAACAAAUGUGUAAGUAACUAUGCACGUCUUGACGGUACCUAAUCAGAAAGCCACGGCUAACUACGUG
RNAcentral lists this ribosomal RNA (497 nucleotides) under uncultured bacterium. RNAcentral describes it as "partial 16S ribosomal RNA". It matches the Rfam family "Bacterial small subunit ribosomal RNA", at positions 28 to 507 of the family's 1533-position model. The record is from RNAcentral.